RNAcentral lists this unclassified non-coding RNA (8409 nucleotides) under Gigantopelta aegis. RNAcentral describes it as "uncharacterized LOC121374242, transcript variant X2". The record is from RNAcentral. Lineage: Eukaryota; Metazoa; Mollusca; Gastropoda; Neomphalida; Peltospiridae.
AAAAGCAGACGAUCAGCUGGCUGUUGUCACGUGCAAUCGUGAAGUGUUAGGAAAAGACAGCAACAUAACCAGAAGCUUCAAAACAAUGAUGUGUCUGCAGUAGCGUGCAACUAAUAUACUGCCUCAGUUAAUUUCUUGUGGUAAAAAUCGAACACUUAUAUGUAAUUUGAACAUUCUCAGAGAAAAAUCAAGAUUCCUUAACAAGAUUAAACAAACCUGUCAUGCAGUGUAACCACUAUAAAAUGCAUCUCAAUGUCAAUAUCCAUGCUGAUAAAAAAUAUGAAGCUCAUCUUUUCAUUAUUCUGCUCAUGGUGAAAUGUUAAAACUGAAGUUCACAAUACUGCUAUUUCAUUGUUUAAUAUACAAAACAACUUUAUGUCAUUAAAACUGAAGGUAAACAUUAUGAACUUACAUUUGAUGCAGUUGGUACAAGAACAUGACAGAAUGUUUUAUUUCUGAACUGAUGACAAAAGAUAAUCUUGAUAUAGACAAUAAUAUUAUGGAUCCUUCACAGCAGAGUAUCUUUGUCAAAACCUCAACAGAUGAAAUGGUAUUAUCUUUUAACAUUCUUAAAGGCAUAGAUAGAAAUGACAAAAUUGAGCAAAAUAUGGUGUUACAACAUAACAUGACAGAAGAAAUUGAAAAUUUAUCCCAAAAAUUAAGUCAAACAUCAGUUGCUUUAGAUGAAGACGAUUUGUCUGGUAUAAAUGACAAACCAGUAGAGUCAUUAUCUGUUACAAAUGAAUGGUAUGAAUCCAGUCAAUCUGAAGUUAACUCACCAAGUCUGAAGACAAAUACAUGUUUUCAGAUUAGUCAAAAUGACGGAACAUCUUUUCCAAAACUAUCUUCACAUCCAACAUUCUCUGCUCCUCAUCCACUUUUGUUGCAUUCUGAACCCCAAAAGUCAGAAUGCCAAAUCCUUACAGUUAAUGGUGUUGAUACCAAACAUAGUGACAAUGACUUUAUUAAUGAGGAGGAAGCAAAAUGUGCUGUUAUUCAGAACACUUUAUUACACUGCACUUAUGAAAUAGUUAGGAAUGAAUUUAGUAAUUUGGUUGAAAGCCAUAAUGUUGAAGUAUUUAAAAACUUCCCAUGUGAUAAAGCAUCAGAUGACUUGGUACAAUUUGAUAAUGAUAAUUUUUCAGAAAAAAUUGAUAAGAACAAUUCUCAUGAAAAUUGUGCUGAAGAAUUUGCAGUCAACAUUACCAUUAAUGGUUCUGACAAUACAGAUGCCUAUGUUCAGGUAGAUGAUUUGCAGCUGCAGUUUUCUCAAUGUUCCGAACACAAUGAAGUAAAGAAAACUGAAGUUGACAGUACUGCUGCACCAUUAUAUAUACAGGAUUUUGUGCCAUUAGAAACUAAAAUGGUUGUUCAAGACUCAGCUGAUAUUCCUAAGGAAAACAUUUAUGACGGUGAAUCCACAUUUGUCAGAGUAGUUGAUGAAUGUCACAAGAAAAUUACAGAUUGUGUUAUUCCUGAAUCGUGUAGCUAUUCUGUGUUGAUUACAAAAAAUAAUGGUGACCAUGCAGAAAAUAUUAUGGUGCCUUUACAGCAGAGUACCCUCAUCAAAGCCUCAAUAGAUGAAACAGUGUCACUGUUUAAAAUUCAAGAUGUUGAUAAUCAUAAAUGGUCACGUAAAAUUGAAAAAGAUGAGAGAAAUAAGGUGUUAAAAAAUAAUGUAGAAAGUGAACAUUUAUCCCGGAAAUUAUGCCAAACCUUAUUUGCUCAAGAUAAAAAAAGUUUGUGUGAUAAAGAUGAAAAAAUUAUGAUGUCAUUACCUGUUUCAAAUGAAAGUCACAAACCUGAUCAAUCUGGAGUUAACCCACCAAGUCGCAAUACAAAUUCACAUUUUCAGUCCAGUCAAAAUGACAGAACUGGCCAAAGUAAAGCCUUGUUUUCAGAUCUAUCUCAGCCUGCACAUUCAGCAUUCUCUGUUGCUCAUCAGCACUUGUUAAAUUUUGAAUCCAAAAUGUCAGAAGUCCAAUGUAUGAUUGUAACUGGUGACGGUACUGAAUACAGAGACAAUGACACGAAUGAUAAUUGGACAAGGCAUGCUGUUAUUCAGGAUAUGUUUUUAAGUGAUGAACAGAAUAUUUAUAAUGUAACUAGUAAUGAGAUAUUUCAAAAAGAUUUAAAACAUGAAAACCUGUUCUAUGCUGUGGACAGUGAAAGCUCAGCUACAAAUGAUGUAACUACAAUGAAUAGUUUAGUUGGUUAUAAAACAUCAACAGAAUGUUCAGCAGUAGUCCAGACAAAUAAUAUACCUUUUGAUCACAAUCAAAAUAAUCGAUCCAAAUCACCAAAUGCACAAAAUAUAGACAUUUGCAGUUCAGGUGAUUUUCAGAUAGAAACAACAGUCUCGGAUACAUUAAAACAUAUUUUAAUUCAGUGUGACAAAAUAUUAAAUGGUUCUUUCAUGAACCAGGACAUGGAAAUUCAAAGCAAAAGUUCAGAAAACAUGUUUUCAUCGUUAGAAAAUCUCAGUGUUUUUUCAACAAAACAAAACAGAUUUUUAGUACCAAAAACGGAAUUAGCCCAUAAAUCACCAAAUGUUCUUUUUGUAGAACAUGAUGAUCUUAAGUCAACUAUUAUAAAAACAAAAGUGGAUGAAGAAUAUUCAAAUGAAUUGAAACAAAAUGAAGAAAUUGUUUUGCCCAGCAAGAACUCAAAUGACCCCAGUACCGCAACUAAUUUAGAGACACUAGUAGAUAAUUCACCUGACAUUAAUAUCUCCAUUUCUGGUGGAAAAGAACAAUUAGUCCUUGCACAAAAAUUAAGACCUGAAAUAGGCUGUCAAAAAUCCAACACUCUGUUGGUAAUGAAAGAUGCUGAAAGUGAAAUAGAAACAAGUGAAAUGGAAGAAAACCUUGUACCAUGUUUCAACUCUGUUUCUAAAGAUCAACUUGUACCAGAAGAGGAAGUCGGUAUAGAAAUGACAUCAGAUUGCACCUUUUAUGAAAAAGAUGGAUAUCAAUACAACUUGAAAGAUGUACCACUAAAGAACAGUAAGGAUUUCUCUACAACUCAGUGCUUUAAAUGGAGAUAUACGCCAUCACUUGGACUUAGCAGUGAUGUUCCAGAGGAACUGCCCAAGUUCGAAGGUUUUGCAGACAAUCUUAGAAAACUUCCUAUAUUAAGAACCUGCUCAAGACCCAUUCGUAUUGGAUUGUCACGAAAACAAAGGGCAGGAAGAUUGCAUUCUAUUCCUGGGAACAAAUAAUGGACCUAUAUUAGUACAACAAACUUAAAGUUGGACAAUUAUUGUUUAUUAACAUUUCAGGGAUUUAUCCAGGCAUUGUAGGCUAUGAUACCAAACAUCAGCCUCUUCCCAAAAGUAAAUGUCAUUGAAAGCUCUCAAUUUCUUGGCUGUAAAUUCCCAAUUUGGUUAAUAAAUAAUUUGGUAAUUAUGCCUAUUCAGAAACAACAAUUGGCAGCAGUUGUGAUAAUGCAACACGAUCUUAUAAAAUGUGAUCAAAACAUAUCUACACUUGCUGUUGUGGCAGGCCUUUGCACACAAUAUCUAAGAUUUGAUCAAAUUUUUCUUCUAUCCCGAGAAAUCGUAAUUUUCAAAGCAUAAACAACACUAGUUGUCAUCAAUAUAUCUACCAUAUAAGUACAUUGUUUGAGCCCGAUGGCCAGUGGGGACAAACAAUUAAAUCAACCCCCACUACUGGGUACAAGCACUACUGGGUACAAGCACUACUGACCACACCAAUUGUAUAAACAAAAAUAUCUACAAGUCAGAUCUUUCGAUUUUCUUCCACAAGCAACAGUUUGCUAAUGAAUAUUUGCCCACCAGUAAUUUAUGUCCCAUUCCUGUCAUAGACAUUUUCCUCUGAUCACUGGCACCCAAAGAGCUGUUACUGUAAGGCCCACAUUCCAUUAACGUGAUUUAUCAAUAUAGUGCAUUUAUAUAGUACCCUUUCCAUAUACCCGAUUCUGCGCAUAGGUAUUCAGCGCGCUGAAAAAAAGUUUAUGAGUGAUUUUUCCAUGCACAAGUUUUUCAGCACAGUGACGUCAUAACAUGAAAGAUUUACUUUUGGCUUAAAAUUCAGUCCGACAACGUAAAAUUUUGUAUAGUAAUCCGCUUUGAAAAACACGGAAAUGCACACAAUAAAAUAUGCACAGAAUCGCAUUAAUGGAAAGUGGGAAUAAUAAUACAAACAGUGACAAGUCUUUUUAUGGUUGUACAUCACCAUUUAUGUUUGCUAACCUUUAAAAGUCGUCCCCCUCCCCCAUCAUUACAUAAUUAAAAUUGCAAGAUUUGCAAGACAUUUUUUUCAAAUGCAUUAUAUGAUGAAAUUAAUAACAACUUUUAACAACAAUGCACCUACAUAAACAAAAUUGGAUCCUAUUUUAUUUCUCACUUUGUUACUCAUUUGUGAGUGGGAGUAUAAUACUAUAAGCCUUUUAACUGUGAUACAAUUUUUGCUAACAAAGGUUGUUUCUGAGGGUUUUCUUUAUCAUGGAUAUAAAUUGGAUAUUAAUGUAUUUUUAAUGUAUCUUUCUUUAUGGUAGGUACUUUUCACAUACCACUAAUAUUAUAUUUUCACACUAGAUUAAUAAUUUUCUUUUUAAUACAUGUAUAUGUGGGGGUUUGGCAUGUCAACAACACUGUUACACAAGUAGGGGAGACCGGGGCACAGUGGGACACUGGGUACAGUGGGACAUUGCUAAUUUAUUUAAUUUAUAUUAACCAAUCAAAUAUCUUGUUACAUAGUAGUAUGCAGCAUCACAUGUGUAAGCUUCCAUUGCAGAAUUUACCGAGUUCUGCUCAACAUAUGAACUUUUGUACAAACAUCAACGUUUUGACAGCAUUUUACAAUGGUCCGAAACAGGCAGAGAAAGACUAACAUUGGAAUGGUGGAUGAGAAAACAAUGGCAAUGGCGGUGAAUGCUGUUUCUAAUAGGAGUUCCAUAUGACAAACUGCCUCAAAAUACAAUAUUGCUAGACAAACAUUAUGUCGAUACGUUUCAAGAACAAAGGCAGCCAUAGCUAACCAUGAACUUCCACGUUUUACACCAAACUACAGUGUAAGAAAGAUAUUCACAGAUGAAGAAGAGAACAUGCUUGUAACUUACUUACUGACAAGCUGUCAAAUGUACUGUGGCCUGUCACCAAAAGAAGUGAGAAUUUUAGCUUUUCAAUUUGGUGAAAAAAAUCAGUCACCCAAGCAGCAGAGAUAGUCAACCCUUCUACAAGUGAAGCUACCCCAGCCACCCAAGCUACAGAGAUAGUCAACCCUUCUACAAGUGAAGCUACCCCAGCCACCCAAGCUACAGACAGUUAAUUCCCCAAACAUUAAACCUACCCAAACCAAAAAGACAUAUGUAACUAACUCAAUGUAUGUGUUCACCCCACUAAAGCAAAGCAUAGCAGCUAAUAAAACGAGCAAGUUAGUGAGUCCUGAAGAAAUACGACCAUAUCCUAAAGCUGGAGUGAGGAAAGGAAAAGUAGUAAAUAGGAAGCGAGGACGUACUAGAAUUGUUACAGAUACACCAGAAAAAGAGGAAUUAAUGAAAGAACAAGAGAAACAGCUUGCAAAAAAAUCAUUAAAACUGGAGAGUAAAAAGAGAAAGGUGAAACAGCUUUUUUCUCCUGCCAAGAGAAGAGUUCCUGAGAAAUGUGAUCACAGUGGAUCUGAAUCCGACGCCGAAUCAGAUGUGGUUUAUUCUGAAAACAGCGAUGAAGCCAGUCUUAGUGAUCAACGACAUGAUUUAUCAGAUUCCAUAUCUGUAGGAGAUUAUGUUCUUGUAAAGUUUGCCACCAAACGAUCAGUAUUACAUUAUGUUGGUCUGAUAACAAAAGAUGAAGCUGGUGGUGAAUAUGAAGUGAAAUUCUUGAAAUCUAGUACAAAAAGUGGUAAACAGUUUAGAUGGUCUGAACCUGAAGAUGUUUCAUUGGUGAACUCUGAAGACAUAGUAAAGAAAUUGCCCCCACCCUUCACUGUUGGUGGAACGGCAAGAGCCAAGAAACUUUUAAUGUUCUCCACUGAUCUUACCUCGUAUCAUCCACUGUAAGGUAUCCAUGGUCAAGGCACAAGUCUUAAACAAUCAACCCUUAACUCCCCCAAAACAGAACACGAAAUAUAAAACCUCUGAAAACCCACAGCAAAAAACCCUCAAGAAAACUGAAAAUGUUCUGUCAGUUUGUGAGUAGCUUGUUCUUUUCUGGAAAAUGGAUGGUUAUAUUUUAAUAAACAUGUUUCAGUUCACUGAAUUAUUUAUUGUCUUUUAUACAUAAAAUUGUUCAAUCAUCUAACCGAAAUCCUGAUCUAGACUAAGCCAUGUUGCAUAUUUCAAAUUACAUUCUGAUGGUGAAAUAAGCUAACAAGAUCUUCUGAAGCUUAUAAUAAUAUAAAUGGUCAAAUGUCCCAGAGUACCCCGAUGCUUGUCUCAGUGUGCCCCACCCAGGGGUAGAGUGGGACGCAAAAAAUCACGUUGAAACUUAUUCAAGUUUCCAGAUUUCCAGAUAAAUAAUUCAUUUCUAAAAUAUGUUUGUCUAUUCAUUCACUUAAUGCAACCCUUCACACAUGACAACAAAUUAUUCUCACAAGUGAAAUUAUUUUGGAGAUAAAGCAAUUUUUGAAAAAAGUGUCCCACUGUGCCCCGGUCUCCCCUACAUGUAAUUGCCACUAUUGUAUUGUUAAAUGUUAUUAACAGUUAUUUAAUAAGUUAAAAUUUUAAAUUGGUAUAUAUGGCUGCCACAUCUGCAUGUACUGAAUUAAAAACUUAAAUUUCUCUUCUCUUCAAGUGAAUAAGUAUAACUUUUAACAUUGAUGUGGAGGUUUAAUCAAAGAAAUUUAAGAACGUUUGUCUUUAUUGUAUAACUAAAAAUCAGAACAAUAAAAAGUAUAUUUUGUUUUGUUGUUUAUUUACUUAAGAACAAUGUAUUAAAACUAAAUGAAUAUAAUUAUAUACUUUAAAUAAUAACAGAUGUAUAAAUUCAUUGGCCCGAAAACUUCUCCAAUUAUGACCAAUAUCAUACUAAUUUUCCCAAUCUCAUGAGCCAUGGGACCCUGGUGAAACAUCCUGGAUAAAUCCCUGCAUUUGUAAAAUAACUGCAAAUUAUUUAUUGUGUAAUUUGCCAAUCUCAAUUUCAACAUAGCAUCUUAUGUUUAAUUCAUAUAUCAUAUGCAACUAUAUUUGAUUUUAUGAUAAAGUGUUAAAUGUGUUCAAUUCUUGUUCAGUUCUUAUUGUUCUAGGGCUCAUCAUAGCAAACAUCUGUGAUAUUGUAAAAAAGUUGCUAUUUACAAAUUUAUUAUUUUCUUUUAAAUACAAUGUAUUUGAAUUUUGUUAUAUUUUUCUAAUUCAACAUGUACCAUAGUAAAAAUUGAGUCCUUACAUAAUAUGCUAACAAAAUAUUUUCACUUAAUGUGUAAUCGUUUUUAAGAUUUUAAUUUGUGUUUCAUUUUCUUCAAACAAAUAAUAAUUAAAGUUUAUGUAUGACCUGUUACAUUUUCAUUAUUGUUUCAUAUUAUUUUUCUAACCACAACAUUAACAGAACACAGAAAGUGACAAAACCCAAGUUUAAUGGCAAAACAGAUAUUUCUCACACAAUCUCAAGUGAACUUCACUAUACAUUUUCACACCAUCAUUAUUUUUGUUUAUGCAUACAUGCAUACAAGGGCUUUUUUGCCACGGGAUGGAUGAACAGUUACUUAUGGACCUGCAACCACCAUCCCAAGUUGUUCCCACAUGUGGUUUGAUGGUCCUGUAUGCAUCUAUAUGCAAGAUAUGGUCUGGACAAGGAUUUACUGUUAUGUGUAGUAGACUGAAAAGUAGGUCACAGUGACCUAAUAAUAGAAUGCGACACACCGCUAUCCCAAGUUGUUCCUACAUUUGAGGUUUGAUAGUCCUGUAUGCAUUUGUUUGCAAGAUAUGGUCUGGACAAGAAAAAGUUAACAGACUGACUUGUGGACGGACGGACGGACGGACGGACAUCGCCAUACCAUAAUACAACCCAUUAUAGAUGGGUGUAUAAAAAUUGUUGUCUGACUGCUGUGUACACAGACAACAAUCUAUUAUACAGGUACAUGUACCAGCAACACAUGUAAUUAUAUAAAAACUGAAAAUAGUAAUAAAAUAAUACAUGUAGUGCAAUUGUUUCAUUUUGAAAAGAAAACUAGUAAUAAUAUAAUAUAGUAAAUGCACAAUAUGUGAAUUUGCCAUUCAUGGUAAAAUACAACAAACAUGCAUGUUAUUGUAUUGCAAGAGUAAAAAGUAAUGAUAAGUAUGUAUUGUAUGGUUUUACCCCUAUAUGAUUGUUACAGUUAUUGAAGUAGACAACAUAUGUAAACAAAUGGAAAGCAUCAAAGAGUGAUUUUGUUUUUGUAUAUAUUUUUAAAGUUACAGUGUCUGGUUGCCAUAUAAUAAUAUGCACAAAUAUGAAAUACAAGCUCAAAUGCA